This 944-nucleotide ribosomal RNA is filed under the name Salmonella enterica subsp. enterica serovar Kentucky. RNAcentral's name for it is "partial 23S ribosomal RNA". It matches the Rfam family "Bacterial large subunit ribosomal RNA", at positions 837 to 1773 of the family's 2925-position model. The record is from RNAcentral. Lineage: Bacteria; Pseudomonadati; Pseudomonadota; Gammaproteobacteria; Enterobacterales; Enterobacteriaceae.
ACCGGGAGAUAGCUGGUUCUCCCCGAAAGCUAUUUAGGUAGCGCCUCGUGAAUUCAUCUCCGGGGGUAGAGCACUGUUUCGGCUAGGGGGCCAUCCCGGCUUACCAACCCGAUGCAAACUGCGAAUACCGGAGAAUGUUAUCACGGGAGACACACGGCGGGUGCUAACGUCCGUCGUGAAGAGGGAAACAACCCAGACCGCCAGCUAAGGUCCCAAAGUCAUGGUUAAGUGGGAAACGAUGUGGGAAGGCCCAGACAGCCAGGAUGUUGGCUUAGAAGCAGCCAUCAUUUAAAGAAAGCGUAAUAGCUCACUGGUCGAGUCGGCCUGCGCGGAAGAUGUAACGGGGCUAAACCAUGCACCGAAGCUGCGGCAGCGACGCUGAUGCGUUGUUGGGUAGGGGAGCGUUCUGUAAGCCUGUGAAGGUGGCCUGUGAGGGUUGCUGGAGGUAUCAGAAGUGCGAAUGCUGACAUAAGUAACGAUAAAGCGGGUGAAAAGCCCGCUCGCCGGAAGACCAAGGGUUCCUGUCCAACGUUAAUCGGGGCAGGGUGAGUCGACCCCUAAGGCGAGGCCGAAAGGCGUAGUCGAUGGGAAACGGGUUAAUAUUCCCGUACUUGGUGUUACUGCGAAGGGGGGACGGAGAAGGCUAUGUUGGCCGGGCGACGGUUGUCCCGGUUUAAGCGUGUAGGUGUGUGUUCCAGGUAAAUCCGGUUCACUUUAACACUGAGGCGUGAUGACGAGGCACUACGGUGCUGAAGCAACAAAUGCCCUGCUUCCAGGAAAAGCCUCUAAGCAUCAGGUAACAUCAAAUCGUACCCCAAACCGACACAGGUGGUCAGGUAGAGAAUACCAAGGCGCUUGAGAGAACUCGGGUGAAGGAACUAGGCAAAAUGGUGCCGUAACUUCGGGAGAAGGCACGCUGACACGUAGGUGAAGUGAUUUACUCA